Molecule: long non-coding RNA, 2461 nt
Organism: Benincasa hispida (wax gourd)
Lineage: Eukaryota; Viridiplantae; Streptophyta; Magnoliopsida; Cucurbitales; Cucurbitaceae
Source: RefSeq, a predicted model, not a curated record
GAAAAAUAACCUAACCUCCACCCUCCAUCUAUAAUCCCUCUUCUCCAAAAGAAUUUCUCUCUAAAAAUUCCUCCAUCAAAAGAUCUUGAAGCCCACACUUCCAAUCCUUUUUUUUAUUCCAAGAGAAUAACAAGGUAGCCUUAGAGGUGGUGUUCUUGUUCGUUGAGAAGCUCAGGAUUGUUUGUGACCUUUAGAGGAGAAAAUGUGAAGAAGGAAGAAUCUACAAGGGUGAUCACAGGCUUCUUCAAGAAUUCGAUUCCCUUCACAAAUAGCUUGGAGUAAGAGAAUUAGGGGAUGCAUUGGUAGCGGAUGCGUGCACACUUUGUGGAUGCAUACAAGUUCUCUCAAAUCAAACUCAAGUUUCCUGGUAAGUCCAAGGUCGGACGCAUGGACUCUAGAAUGCUUCUAACGAAGACCUUGUUUUUGGAUCUAAUACAGAUGUUUCCUAAUUAACUUGAGAAAUGUUGGUUAUUUACACUGAGCUAAUAGCACAUAUGCAAAAAGAAUCAGAAGUUCAUAGGGAAAAAGGGGUUUAUGAAUGAAUGGUUUUAAAUGUAAGUGGUAUGUGUUGAGUCCAAGCAGGAUUAGAAAGCAUAAUGAAGAUGGGAUGAAGAUGAUACAGAUGCUUUUCUACAAUCUAAAUGUAUGAGCUAUGCCUUAGAAUUUUAUUCUUAAAUUUAUAUUUAGUUCAACAUCUCUAAAUGCGAAAGCCACAUAUAAUCUUAUCUCUAGGGUAUAUGCGUUGGCUACAAAGAACAGGCAAAAGAUGCAAGCAACUUUAUCUCUAAACCUAUUUCGCACCAUGACUUAAUGUGUUCUAUAAUUAAAUUUAUCUCUCAAGUGAUUUAACUACUUAAUCGCUUUAAUCAACUGAUUAGGAUGAUGAUAUGAAUCAAGAAAUUCGAACUUGAAGAUGAUAUGAAUCAAAGUCAUUAAGUUUCCAUGUAAACUUAGUUGUUUUCAAUUAAUUUCCAAAAAUUUAUGUUUAAUUUAAGUAUUGAAAUUAUGGACAUUUUUUUUAAAGAUAGUUGUUGGAAAUAUGGAGGUUACUUUUAAUGAAGAUGCAUUGAAGAUGAAGACUAGUCAAAGAUGGUGGAUGAAAUUGGAGGUUGCCAUUAAUAGAAUUGCAUUGAAUAUGGUGGAUGAAAGAUGGAGUUUGGGAAGAUGACUACUUUAAUGUUUUAUGUUGACUUUUGCUUCUUUACAUUAAUUGUAUUAGAAUCUCUACAAGGCUAUAUAAAGUCUCUUAUCCUUUCAAUUGUAAUAGAUUAAGAAUUUGGAUGAAUGAUACUAGAAAAUUCUAAAAUGUAGAAUUUUGUUUCUAGUGUGUUCUUGUGAUAGAAUGCAUGAAUAUUUGGAACAUUCAAGUGAGAAUUGAUCUAACUUGCUUGUGGAGUGCUUUGAAGAUCAAGGAUUGAUGGGAGUUUCUAAUUUUGUUUGAUCAUUGGUUCAUUAGAUCAACUAAGUCAUCUGAAUUUUAGCCUGUCUUAGGGGUUGAUUUCAAGUUGGUUUUGAGGUUGUUGGGGUUGAAUUCUUUGAGUCUUGUUGGUUAACAUGGUUCUUAGAUCCGAUGCCUAAGGGUCUCGUAUCAUUUGAUAUCAGAGUUUUAGCUCUAGAUCAGGUAUAUUUUUCCGUUGUUGUAAUGUUUUUCUUAUUCUUUGAUUUCCAAUUUUAUGUUUUUCUAGUGAUCUCAUCACAUUCUGUCCGUUAUAUAAAAACUCAAAAAAAAUGUUAGUUCUAUUUGUAAUUUUACAUUUUUAUCUUCUUCAAUCUCUUAAAUCUGAGUUUGAUUUACAAGAUUGCUUUUGUCAAUGUCCUCCAAUUUGGUUUCCUUCAAUGUCAAAUGUUCUUGUUUUGAAAAUCUGAAAAAAAAAAAAAAAAAAAAAAAAACAAAACAAAAAUGUGUAAUCUGAGAGGUUCCUUGUUGAAUUUUGUUGUUCUUCGAUUCAAGUACAAGAAAGAUGACUAUCACAUGCUGCAUUCCAAAUAGAUCCUUUAGAUUCAAUGACGAAUCUUCUUGAAGAAUGGGGGAAUGAUACGAACCAAGAAAUUACAUUUCCAUCAAAUGAACUUGAAGAUGAUCGAAUCAUGACCAUUAAGCUUCCUUGAGUUCAAGCACUUUGAAGACUUCUAAGUUCAUAUAUUUUUGCUAUAAUUCAAGUUUGAAUUGUUAUUUAUGCCUAGUCAAAGAUGAUGGAUGUCAUUAAUGAAGUAGCAUUAAAGGUAGUGGUAGUAAGAUGGUGGUUGGAAGAUGAACUUCUUUAAUGUUUUAUUUUGACUUUUUGGUAUUUAUAUUAAAUAGGUUAGAAUCUCUACAAGGCUAUAUAAUGCCUUUUAUCCUUCCAUUUAUAAUAGAUUAAGGAUUUAGAUUAAUGAUACUAGAAAAUUCUAAAAUGUAGAAUUUUGUUUUUUGUGUGUUCUUGUGAUAGAAUACAUGAAUAUUUAGAGUUGUUGGGGUUGA